Suillus weaverae is the source of this 86-nucleotide non-coding RNA. Lineage: Eukaryota; Fungi; Basidiomycota; Agaricomycetes; Boletales; Suillaceae. The record is from the annotation of a GenBank genome assembly.
CAAGUGAUAGCCGAGUGGUUACCGCAACAGAUUAGAAAUCUGUUCCUCUUGAGCAGUGUGCGCAGGUUCUAAACCUGUUGACAUGA